Molecule: ribosomal RNA, 859 nt
Filed under: uncultured soil bacterium
Lineage: Bacteria
Description: bacterial SSU rRNA
Rfam family: Bacterial small subunit ribosomal RNA
Source: RNAcentral
AGAAUGAACGUUGGCGGCGUGGAUUAGGCAUGCAAGUCGAACGGGCCUGGUUUCGGAUCAGGUCAGUGGCGCAAGGGUGAGUAAGGCGACGGUAACCAACCCCAUGGUUGGGUAUAGCCGCGGGAAACUGCGGGUAAUCCCCAGCGAUGUAAGAUGCCGGCAUCGGUGUUUUAUCAAAGCUUUGGCGCCGUGGGACGGGCCGUCGUGGUAUUAAGUUGUUGGCGGGGUAACGGCCCACCAAGCCGAUGAUGCCUACCGGGCGUGCGAGCGUGGCCCGGCACACUGGGACUGAGACACUGCCCAGACUCCUACGGGAGGCUGCAGUCGAGAAUCUUCGGCAAUGGGCGCAAGCCUGACCGAGCGACGCCGCGUGGAGGAUGAAGGCCUUCGGGUUGUAAACUCCUGUCGAGGGGGAGGAAGGGGAAACCUUGACCGAUCCCUGGAGGAAGCACGGGCUAAGUUCGUGCCAGCAGCCGCGGUAAGACGAACCGUGCGAACGUUAUUCGGAAUCACUGGGCUUAAAGCGCGUGUAGGCGGAUGGGAACGUCGGAUACUGAAAGCCCCCGGCUCAACCGGGGAAGUGGUUCCGAAACGACCUGUCUGGGAGGGACGUAGGGGGAUCUGGAACUUCCGGUGGAGCGGUGAAAUGCGUUGAGAUCGGAAGGAACGCCCGUGGCGAAAGCGAGGUCCUGGACGUCUGCUGACGCUGAGACGCGAAAGCUAGGGGAGCAAACGGGAUUAGAUACCCCGGUAGUCCUAGCCGUAAACGAUGGGCAUUGGGUAGGGGGCUCGCCGAUGGGCUCUCUGCCGUAGCGAAGCGUGAAGUGCCCCGCCUGGGGAGUAUGGUCGCAAGGCUGAA